CCGUAGGUAUUUCCUUUGUCCUCGUGAAAACGUCUUUUUACCGUCGUUUAUAUCGCCUUCUUAGUGUUAUCCACCGCUAGGAUUAAAAUUUUCAGCGUGACUGCUAUAGUGAUUUAGAGAUUCCACGUCUCCCUCCCUUCAUCACUUCUUACCGUCUAAAACGGGGCUUUCGAAGAGGUCUGUCCUCUUCAGGGUGCAGGUCUUCCAUUAGGUACCCACAUGCUUAAAAAUUGGUAUCUGGUCAUUUUAGUGAAUGGCGAUUCGGCGAAUCGUUUUCGGUGAACGGAUAUAUCGGCGAAAACGUUUAUUUAUUUAGAGCAAAAAAAAAAAAAAAAAAUAAUAAUAAAAAAGAGCUGAUACUGGAGCCGGGAGUGUUACUGUUGUAGAUGGGAAGUUGGAAAGGUAGGAUACACAAAGUUGUUUUACAUAUAACUGUAAUUAACGAUAAACAAUUCGGAGCGAAAUUCGGUUAUACAUGUUUUGAAAGGCUGUAAUAUUCACGAUUUUCAUCAAAUUUUAUUUUGGCCACCUAAGUUCCCGGUUGAAAUGAAAAUCUACUUACGCCAAUACAACAACGAAUGUUCCAUCAUCCGAUCAAUCAACACAUAUUAUCACAGCAUUUUUUGAUGAAUUUAAUUUUCAAGCAUUUUUUUGUAGUCUAACAAUUUUUUCCACAGAUUUUAUCCAACAAUUUCAUACAUUUUAUCCAUUUAACUUACCUACCACAAAAAAAAUUACGUAGGAAACUAGCGAAAUUAAAAUUAAAUAGCUCUAAAAAUAACUCCUUCCUGUGUAAACGGCACGAAAAAGCGCCUACAGUUACUAAGACGGUUUGCACGACGUCCAGUGAUUCAGUUGGCUAGUCAGAUUUGCCAACUAUCCGACGAGGAGAUUCUGAAGUCACUAGGCAACGUAGUUCUGCGUUGAUCACCUCCUUCUCUUGCUUCUAUAAUCGGACGGUUACGUCUUCGAUUGUGUAGCUGAAAGAGUAGU
This is a non-coding RNA of Cinara cedri, 993 nucleotides long. Lineage: Eukaryota; Metazoa; Arthropoda; Insecta; Hemiptera; Aphididae. The record is from the annotation of a GenBank genome assembly.